RNAcentral lists this ribosomal RNA (492 nucleotides) under uncultured bacterium. RNAcentral's name for it is "partial 16S ribosomal RNA". It matches the Rfam family "Bacterial small subunit ribosomal RNA", at positions 29 to 507 of the family's 1533-position model. The record is from RNAcentral.
AGUGAACGCUGGCGGUAGGCCUAACACAUGCAAGUCGAACGGCAGCACAGUAAGAGCUUGCUCUUACGGGUGGCGAGUGGCGGACGGGUGAGGAAUACAUCGGAAUCUACUUUUUCGUGGGGGAUAACGUAGGGAAACUUACGCUAAUACCGCAUACGACCUACGGGUGAAAGCAGGGGAUCUUCGGACCUUGCGCGAUUGAAUGAGCCGAUGUCGGAUUAGCUAGUUGGCGGGGUAAAGGCCCACCAAGGCGACGAUCCGUAGCUGGUCUGAGAGGAUGAUCAGCCACACUGGAACUGCGACACGGUCCAGCCUCCUACGGGAGGCAGCAGUGGGGAAUAUUGGACAAUGGGCGCAAGCCUGAUCCAGCCAUACCGCGUGGGUGAAGAAGGCCUUCGGGUUGUAAAGCCCUUUUGUUGGGAAAGAAAAGCAGCAGGUUAAUACCCCGCUGUUCUGACGGUACCCAAAGAAUAAGCACCGGCUAACUUCGUG